RNAcentral lists this ribosomal RNA (435 nucleotides) under uncultured bacterium. Its description in RNAcentral is "partial 16S ribosomal RNA". It matches the Rfam family "Bacterial small subunit ribosomal RNA", at positions 28 to 507 of the family's 1533-position model. The record is from RNAcentral.
GAUGAACGCUGGCGGUAUGCUUAACACAUGCAGGUCGAACGGACUCUUCGGAGUUAGUGGCGGACGGGUGAGUAACGCGUGAGAAUCUGGCUUUGGGUUCGGGACAACCACUGGAAACGGUGGCUAAUACCGGAUGUGCCGAGAGGUAAAAGAGAAAUUGCCUGAAGAUGAGCUCGCGUCUGAUUAGCUAGUUGGUGAGGUAAAGGCUCACCAAGGCAGCGAUCAGUAGCUGGUCUGAGAGGAUGACCAGCCACACUGGGACUGAGACACGGCCCAGACUCCUACGGGAGGCGGCAGUGGGGAAUUUUCCGCAAUGGGCGAAAGCCUGACGGAGCAAUACCGCGUGAGGGAAGAAGGCUCUUGGGUUGUAAACCUCUUUUCUUAGGGAAGAACAAAAUGACGGUACCUAAGGAAUCAGCAUCGGCUAACUCCGUG